RNAcentral lists this ribosomal RNA (253 nucleotides) under uncultured bacterium. Its description in RNAcentral is "partial 16S ribosomal RNA". It matches the Rfam family "Bacterial small subunit ribosomal RNA", at positions 524 to 776 of the family's 1533-position model. The record is from RNAcentral.
GACGUAGGGGGCCAGCGUUGUUCGGAAUUACUGGGUGUAAAGGGUUCGUAGGCGGUGCGGCAAGUCGGGAGUGAAAUCUCUGGGCUUAACCCAGAGGCUGCUUCCGAAACUGCUGUGCUUGAGCGUGGGAGAGGCGCGUGGAAUUGCAGGUGUAGCGGUGAAAUGCGUAGAUAUCUGCAGGAACACCCGUGGCGAAAGCGGCGCGCUGGACCACUACUGACGCUGAGGAACGAAAGCUAGGGGAGCAAACAGG